This 109-nucleotide ribosomal RNA is filed under the name Caerostris darwini. The record is from RNAcentral. Lineage: Eukaryota; Metazoa; Arthropoda; Arachnida; Araneae; Araneidae.
GGCCGUACCAUGCUGAAUAUACCGGUUCUCGUUAGAUCACCGAAGUUAAGCAUCAUUGGGCGCGGUCAGUACUUGGGUGGGUGACCACCUGGGAACACUGCGUGCCGUU